GCGGGUGUAGUUCAAUGGUAGAACUCCAGCUUCCCAAGCUGACAACGCGGGUUCGAUUCCCGUCACCCGCU
This 71-nucleotide transfer RNA is filed under the name Jiangella asiatica. It matches the Rfam family "tRNA". From Rfam's summary of the family: Transfer RNA (tRNA) molecules are approximately 80 nucleotides in length. The record is from Rfam by way of RNAcentral. RNAcentral also lists the same sequence under 1 other name. Lineage: Bacteria; Bacillati; Actinomycetota; Actinomycetes; Jiangellales; Jiangellaceae.